UACGAAGGGGGCUAGCGUUGCUCGGAAUGACUGGGCGUAAAGGGCGCGUAGGCGGCUUGUACAGUCAGGUGUGAAAUUCCCGGGCUCAACCUGGGGGCUGCACUUGAUACGUAGGAACUUGAGUGGGGAAGAGGGUCGUGGAAUUCCAAGUGUAGAGGUGAAAUUCGUAGAUAUUGGGAAGAACACCGGUGGCGAAGGCGGCGACCUGGUCCUUGACUGACGCUGAGGCGCGAAAGCGUGGGGAGCAAACAGG
Molecule: ribosomal RNA, 253 nt
Filed under: uncultured bacterium
Lineage: Bacteria
Description: partial 16S ribosomal RNA
Rfam family: Bacterial small subunit ribosomal RNA
Source: RNAcentral